CCUACGGGAGGCAGCAGUGGGGAAUCUUGCGCAAUGGGCGAAAGCCUGACGCAGCCAUGCCGCGUGAAUGAUGAAGGUCUUAGGAUUGUAAAAUUCUUUCACCGAGGACGAUAAUGACGGUACUCGGAGAAGAAGCCCCGGCUAACUUCGUGCCAGCAGCCGCGGUAAUACGAAGGGGGCUAGCGUUGCUCGGAAUUACUGGGCGUAAAGGGAGCGUAGGCGGAUAGUUUAGUCAGAGGUGAAAGCCCAGGGCUCAACCUUGGAAUUGCCUUUGAUACUGGCUAUCUUGAGUACGGAAGAGGUAUGUGGAACUCCGAGUGUAGAGGUGAAAUUCGUAGAUAUUCGGAAGAACACCAGUGGCGAAGGCGACAUACUGGUCCGUUACUGACGCUGAGGCUCGAAAGCGUGGGGAGCAAAACAGGAUUAGAUACCCUGGUAGUCCACGCUGUAAAACGAUGAGUGCUAGUUGUCGGCAUGCAUGCAUGUCGGUGGACGCAGCUAACGACAUUAAGACACCUCCGCCGUCGGGGAGGUACGGGUCGGCGAAGAAGUUAAAACUUAACAAAGGUAAAGUUAGUUACGGCGUUGAGACGUGCCGAACGGACGACCACCGAGGGGAAGGUUAGGGAG
RNAcentral lists this ribosomal RNA (630 nucleotides) under uncultured bacterium. Its description in RNAcentral is "bacterial SSU rRNA". The stretch from base 1 to 523 matches the Rfam family "Bacterial small subunit ribosomal RNA", at positions 338 to 873 of the family's 1533-position model. The record is from RNAcentral.